GGUGUUAAUCAUAGGGAUCGAUUUGAGUAACAAAUGCCAACCUUAAGAAUCAAUGUGAUAUAAAAAUUUUAGGUGCCAAUUUGAGAAAAGUGCAAAGUUUAGGGGUCAAUCUAUAUAUUAAGCCUUGAACAAAUCGCUUGUGUUUUUUUUUUUUCUCUUUUAAGAAUUUAAUUGAAGUCGCCGGAAAAUCUCAGGCUUUAUCACCGGAACACAUUUCAUCUUCUUUUCUCUCUUCUCAGACCAACUUUGACUUCAAUCAAAUUUCAAUCAACAAGAAUUUGCUUUGAAAACAUAAAGAAAAUUCCUUUUUUGGGUUUCGAAAAUUGUGAGAUUUUGGGCUUUUAGAAGAAAAGUGGAAUGGGCUGUGCUGGAUCGACGCCGGCCAAAGGAGACGGGAAUGUGAAAAAGAUCCGGAAGCCCAAGCCCUGGAAACAUCCUCAGCCGAUAACGAAGUCUCAACUUGAGCAGAUGCGUGAAGAGUUUUGGGACACUGCACCUCAUUAUGGUGGCAGUAAAGAGAUCUGGGAUGCACUUAAAGCUGCUACUAAACAGGAUUUAACAUUUGCUCAAGCUAUUGUGGACAGUGCAGGGGUCAUAGUGCAAUCUGCCGAUUUAACUAUCUGCUACGAUGAAAGAGGUGCCAAGUAUGAACUACCAAAGUAUGUUUUGAGUGAGCCAACCAAUUUGAUCCAAGAGAGUUGAAAAUAGAGAGAAUAAAGAGUGCAAUGCACGCUAAGGUUUAAUGUAAAUCAUGUUGCUGUAAGUUUCUCUGAUGAAAUGAUCAAAAGGCAUAAACAUUGGUUUCAAUCAAGAUGUCACAGUUCUUCUCUGAGCUUUUGUGUAGAGAUAGUUUUUGUUUGGCCCUUGUUUGAACUUGAAGACUAUGUAUAAGAUUUUACCAAAACGAAUUAAAUAACUGAGUUGAGUCAAUGCAAUGACAUAAUAUCUUGUAUGUAAGUUAAAUUUUUUGUUCAAUGAAAAAUAAAGUGUCGAAUCAUAAAA
This is an RNA transcript of Gossypium arboreum, 1002 nucleotides long. RefSeq lists it as uncharacterized. The transcript is spliced from 5 exons. Lineage: Eukaryota; Viridiplantae; Streptophyta; Magnoliopsida; Malvales; Malvaceae. The record is from RefSeq and is a predicted model, not a curated record.